This 1788-nucleotide unclassified non-coding RNA is filed under the name Hevea brasiliensis (rubber tree). The record is from RNAcentral. Lineage: Eukaryota; Viridiplantae; Streptophyta; Magnoliopsida; Malpighiales; Euphorbiaceae.
CCCUUCAACUGUUAUAACCCAGAGCAAUCUCGGAUAAUUCCGAAAGCCCAAACAGGUGAUAGAUGCCACCGGCCGAAUCCACAGCCGUUCCGGUGGACUGCGAGAGGUUGCAUCGGGCGCUGUGCGAAUGCCACCGGCGUGUUUCGCCGGGUCUCGGACGCAAAGUGUCCUGUCGUCACUUGAAUCGGGCCUUGGCCCAGUGCAUGAUUUCGGUGGCUUGUCCGGAGGAAUCGGAGGCGGUUCGCAGCCUGUGUGCUAGCGGCGGGACUGCCCUGAAGCGGUCGCAGUGCCAGCAGGCCCAGCUCUCUCUAUCCAUCUGCCUCGCUUCUCAUCAACACGACUCCUCUCCUGAAUCAUGAACAAAGCUCCCUCUAACCUCACUUUUUUCUCUGUUUCUUGUGAUCUGCAGCUCCACAAGCGAGUUUUUUUUUAUGUAAUUUUUUAAAUUAAUUUUCAGUUCAAGUUCAUUAUUUAUAUGAUUUAUUUGUUCCAAUUUCUUUCCUUUUUUGGCUAUUCGCAUAGCUGAAUUGGGCAAUUCAAUUUCUUGUAUUGUAAUUGAAUUUGUAUAAUCUAAUUGAGUUAUACUAUUGUUCCUUAACCACUAUUGAAGAAGAGCAGAAGACUUGAGUAGAAAGUGCACACUUAUUUAUUUAGUGAUUCUUGAACUACUUAGGAAUUUAUCCAUCUGAUCAAAAAAUCCUUUUCCUGCAGAAACUUUCUCGCUUGUUCCAUAAUAUGGGUAUUAUUUUCCCCCCCCUCAUGUUCCAUUGAUUAGAAUUUCUUCACCUUUGUAAUUAAAUCAGAAUUACAGAUGUAUUAACAAGCACAUGGAUAUUCAUUUUUAACGGGGUGUGAGGGUUUGAAACCCACUUGUAAAAUACACCUCCUCAAUAAUAAAAAAUAAAAAGGAGCUUGUUAUCUAGCAACUCUCAAGUGAUGUAGAUAAAUUAGACAUUAUAAGUGUGUGAUUAAUUAAUUAAUUAAUUUAUUUUUAAAUUCCACUAAAUUGUUCUGUAUGUUGCAUGACAAAACUGAGUCUCUUUUCAGAUUCAACGCAUGGUUCCCGUCUGCUGCAAGUUGAAGCUGCAUAUCAUUGCAUGAGGAAGUGAUGAACAGUUAUAUGAGCAGUAGUGAUGGUGUUAAAGUGGCUUCUUUGUUCCUGUCUAUUGCAAGAUGAAGCUACAUCUCUUUCCAACUUUGCAUGACAAACAGUCAUAUGAGCAGUAGUAAUGAUAUUAAAGUGCCUUCUUUGUUUGAUUAAUGUUACGCAGUGCUAGCUGGGAGAGGCAGGAAUUGUACCUAGUGCAUCUUGAGUGAGUGCAAGUGAAUAUUAUCAACUUGAAGAGCAUUGCAUGAAGUAGGCAUCUACAUCAUGAACAUAAGGCUGGUGCUUUUGGUUGCAUUGGAGGUCUCUGGCUUGUUUUUAAUGUGAUGAACAUUCUUUUGUAUAUGGCCACAGAGGCCUUCUAGAAGAAGGAAAAUGACUUGCUGAAACUGUCGGGAUGUAAAAAAGCAUCUGUAGGGGAGCAUUCCAACCUAGAGAAGCACACUCUAGCAAGCAGGGGUGGAUGAAGCAAAACUGAGAAUGACAGCUCGAGUCCAUUGUUUCUCAGAGGACAUGGUUGUGAAAUUGGCCGUCCUAUAAAUUUGUGGAAGUACAUUGCUUUUUCCAAAAAUAAAGGGAGAAUACUUUUCACUGUUUUGGUUUUCCCAAGUGUGUUGCCUUUUGUGAAUACUUGGAAGAGUUUGAGUAACUAUAGCAACUAACAAUUGGCAUACCAAGGAUAG